GGUGAGUCGGGUCCUAAGGCGAGGCCGACAGGCGUAGUCGAAUGGAUGAACGGGUGGAUAUUCCCGUACCGACCAUGGACCGGCAAAACCGAGACGGUGAGUACUAACCUCCGCCUCGUGGUGGUUCCUUCCUUCGGGUUGGUGUCGCCGCGUGGUGUUGGGACUGUAGCCGCAGUAGGUCAGCGCAGGGGUGACACGGAAUGGGAGCCGGCCGCGGAGGUGGUUUUCCGUGGUCAAGCACGCAGCCAGUCAUGUAGGCAAAUCCGCAUGGCGUGCAUGGCGAGGUGUGAUGAUGGGAGCCUUUCGGGCUCGAUAUCCGGUUGUCCAGGCCGUCGAGAAAAGCCUCGGCGUGAGGGCCAUGGCCGCCCGUACCCCAAACCGACACUGGUGGUCAGGUAGAGAAUACCAAGGCGAUCGAGCGAAUCCUGGUCAAGGAACUCGGCAAAUCACUCCCGUGCCUUCGGUAUAAGGGAGACCCACUGGGGUGAAGGACCUUGCGUCCGGAGCUUUGGUGGGUGGCACAGACCAGGGGGUAGCGACUGUUUACCAAAAACACAGGUGCAUGCGAAGGCGAAAGCCGCUGUAUAUGCACUGACGCCUGCCCGGUGCCGGAAGGUUAAGAGGAUCCGUCAAUCCCUUCGGGGACGAAGCGGUGAAUUCAAGCCCCGGUAAACGGCGGUGGUAACUAUAACCAUCCUAAGGUAGCGAAAUUCCUUGUCGGGUAAGUUCCGACCUGCACGAAUGGCGUAACGACUUCCCCACUGUCUCGACCAGGAGCUCGGCGAAAUUGCAGUACGAGUAAAGAUGCUCGUUAAGCGCAGAAGGACGAAAAGACCCCGGGACCUUUACUAUACCUUGGUAUUGGCGUUAGGCGCGGAUUGUGUAGCAUAGGCGGGAGGCUUCGAAGCGUGGGCGCCAGCUCAUGUGGAGCCGCAAGGUGAAAUACCGCUCUGUUCUCGUUUGACGUCUAACCUCGACAAGUCAUCCUUGUCAGGGACAGUGCCUGGCGGGUAGUUCAACUGGGGCGGUUGCCUCCCAAAGAGUAACGGAGGCGCUCAAAGGUCCGCUCAGCCCGGUUGGCAAUCGGGUGUCGAGUGUAAUCGCACAAGCGGGCUUGACUGCGAGGACGACGGUCCGAGCAGGGACGAAAGUCGGAGAUAGUGAUCCGGUGCCGGCGCACGGGCGCGGCAUCGCUCAACGGAUAAAAGGUACCCCGGGGAUAACAGGCUGAUCAUUCCCAAGAGUCCAUAUCGACGGGAUGGUUUGGCACCUCGAUGUCGGCUCGUCGCAUCCUGGGGCUGGAGCAGGUCCCAAGGGUUUGGCUGUUCGCCAAUUAAAGCGGCACGCGAGCUGGGUUCAG
RNAcentral lists this ribosomal RNA (1360 nucleotides) under human gut metagenome. RNAcentral's name for it is "bacterial LSU rRNA". It matches the Rfam family "Bacterial large subunit ribosomal RNA", at positions 1378 to 2614 of the family's 2925-position model. The record is from RNAcentral.